GAUGAACGCUGGCGGCGUGCCUAAUACAUGCAAGUCGAGCGAACAGACGAGGAGCUUGCUCCUCUGACGUUAGCGGCGGACGGGUGAGUAACACGUGGAUAACCUACCUAUAAGACUGGGAUAACUUCGGGAAACCGGAGCUAAUACCGGAUAAUAUAUUGAACCGCAUGGUUCAAUAGUGAAAGACGGUUUUGCUGUCACUUCUAGAUGGAUCCGCGCCGCAUUAGCUAGUUGGUAAGGUAACGGCUUACCAAGGCAACGAUGCGUAGCCGACCUGAGAGGGGGAUCGGCCACACUGGAACUGAGACACGGUCCAGACUCCUACGGGAGGCAGCAGUAGGGAAUCUUCCGCAAUGGGCGAAAGCCUGACGGAGCAACGCCGCGUGAGUGAUGAAGGUCUUCGGAUCGUAAAACUCUGUUAUUAGGGAAGAACAAAUGUGUAAGUAACUAUGCACGUCUUGACGGUACCUAAUCAGAAAGCCACGGCUAACUACGUG
Molecule: ribosomal RNA, 497 nt
Filed under: uncultured bacterium
Lineage: Bacteria
Description: partial 16S ribosomal RNA
Rfam family: Bacterial small subunit ribosomal RNA
Source: RNAcentral